This 464-nucleotide ribosomal RNA is filed under the name Vreelandella stevensii. Its description in RNAcentral is "partial 16S ribosomal RNA". It matches the Rfam family "Bacterial small subunit ribosomal RNA", at positions 338 to 795 of the family's 1533-position model. Lineage: Bacteria; Pseudomonadati; Pseudomonadota; Gammaproteobacteria; Oceanospirillales; Halomonadaceae. The record is from RNAcentral.
CCUACGGGAGGCAGCAGUGGGGAAUAUUGGACAAUGGGGGGAACCCUGAUCCAGCCAUGCCGCGUGUGUGAAGAAGGCCCUCGGGUUGUAAAGCACUUUCAGUGAGGAAGAACGCCUGGUGGUUAAUACCCAUCAGGAAAGACAUCACUCACAGAAGAAGCACCGGCUAACUCCGUGCCAGCAGCCGCGGUAAUACGGAGGGUGCGAGCGUUAAUCGGAAUUACUGGGCGUAAAGCGCGCGUAGGUGGCUUGAUAAGCCGGUUGUGAAAGCCCCGGGCUCAACCUGGAACGGCAUCCGGAACUGUCAAGCUAGAGUGCAGGAGAGGAAGGUAGAAUUCCCGGUGUAGCGGUGAAAUGCGUAGAGAUCGGGAGGAAUACCAGUGGCGAAGGCGGCCUUCUGGACUGACACUGACACUGAGGUGCGAAAGCGUGGGUAGCAAACAGGAUUAGAUACCCCAGUAGUC